Molecule: ribosomal RNA, 440 nt
Filed under: uncultured Patulibacter sp.
Lineage: Bacteria; Bacillati; Actinomycetota; Thermoleophilia; Solirubrobacterales; Patulibacteraceae
Description: bacterial SSU rRNA
Rfam family: Bacterial small subunit ribosomal RNA
Source: RNAcentral
GGAAUCUUGCACAAUGCGCGAAAGCGUGAUGCAGCAACGCCGCGUGCGGGAAGAAGGCCUUAGGGUUGUAAACCGCUUUCAGUUGGGACGAAGCUUCAGUCGUUAAUAGCGGUUUGGAGUGACGGUACCUUCAGAAGAAGCGCCGGCUAACUACGUGCCAGCAGCCGCGGUAAUACGUAGGGCGCGAGCGUUGUCCGGAAUCAUUGGGCGUAAAGCGCGUGUAGGCGGCUGAGUAAGUCUGCUGUGAAAGUCCAGGGCUCAACCCUGGAAUGUCGGCGGAUACUGCUCAGCUGGAGUACGGGAGGGGCGAGUGGAAUUCCUGGUGUAGCGGUGGAAUGCGCAGAUAUCAGGAGGAACACCUAUGGCGAAGGCAGCUCGCUGGAACGUUACUGACGCUGAGACGCGAAAGCGUGGGGAGCAAACAGGAUUAGAUACCCGAG